Rhizopogon vinicolor AM-OR11-026 is the source of this 104-nucleotide transfer RNA. It matches the Rfam family "tRNA". From Rfam's summary of the family: Transfer RNA (tRNA) molecules are approximately 80 nucleotides in length. The record is from Rfam. Lineage: Eukaryota; Fungi; Basidiomycota; Agaricomycetes; Boletales; Rhizopogonaceae.
GGUGAGAUGGCCGAGCGGUCUAAGGCGCCAGACUAAGGAUCAGCUCAUUAGAUGAGCAUGUUAUCUGGUCCUCCGGGGCGUGGGUUCGAAUCCCACUCUCAUCA